UGGCAUUUCAGUGAGGCUGGACAUGGC
Molecule: non-coding RNA, 27 nt
Filed under: Bombyx mori (domestic silkworm)
Lineage: Eukaryota; Metazoa; Arthropoda; Insecta; Lepidoptera; Bombycidae
Source: RNAcentral